UACGUAGGGGGCGAGCGUUGUCCGGAUUUAUUGGGCGUAAAGAGCGUGUAGGCGGUUCGGUAAGUCUGUCGUGAAAUCCUGAGGCUCAACCUCGGACGUGCGAUGGAUACUGCCGGGCUAGAGGAUGGUAGAGGCGAGUGGAAUUCCCGGUGUAGCGGUGAAAUGCGCAGAUAUCGGGAAGAACACCCGUGGCUAAGGCGGCUCUCUAGUACGGUACUGACGCUGAGACGCGAAAGCGUGGGGAGCGAACAGG
Molecule: ribosomal RNA, 253 nt
Filed under: uncultured bacterium
Lineage: Bacteria
Description: partial 16S ribosomal RNA
Rfam family: Bacterial small subunit ribosomal RNA
Source: RNAcentral